This 436-nucleotide long non-coding RNA is filed under the name Sinocyclocheilus grahami. RNAcentral describes it as "lncRNA (ENSSGRG00000028159.1)". Lineage: Eukaryota; Metazoa; Chordata; Actinopteri; Cypriniformes; Cyprinidae. The record is from RNAcentral.
UUAGCGAUAAAUAAUUUAAAGAACUACACAUCCCAGUAGACUGUUAACGCGACUGGAGAAUUUGGGGUGAGGGUGUCUUGUUGAGCGGGGGCAACACACAGGGUCUACACGCAGCAUUGUGAGAAUUACAUUGUUGCACAUUAUCCAAGGGCUUAGAGACGAUAAAAUAACGCACAGCAGGAUAAAAUCCUAGUGCACAACUGCAUCAGAAUACUACGUGGACGCUGGAAACGACCACCGGCAGAGAAUUGAUGUGAAUAAUCAUAUGGAAGCUGAAUGCUGUUCAUUUAGUGCAACAUCUACAACAGUCUGCAGAAAUUUACAUUCCAGAGAGGAGGUGAAGUGGGUGUCUUUACGUCCAAAAAUUGCCCCAGCUUUAAGAAUACACCAUGAUGAAGUGUUAUGCAUCCUAAGAGGCAUUGCAAGCCAGCUGUGA